AUAAAGCAUUUCACACAUACUUUGAGAGUUCUGUGUCUUGAUUCAUAUGCAUGUUUUGGUGCAUGAAUGUCUGAUGCAUGUACCGGUAGGCAUCCCGUACCUGUAGCAAAGUGUUGAGAUGCUGAUGUGGAUAGGAGUCUAUGUGAAAUAGGUUGGGAUUUGCAAUAGUAUGCUCUGUUGUUCUAGUAGAUGUAAUUUCUCAUUAGAGUCAAAGUCCUUCGAUUAAGUGUUAAUAUUUGGGUUUUGCUAUUUGUUCUGAUGCCAUGGUGGCUUAAUGAGAACUUUUGAUUUGCAUCUCAACUCAAAGUUUCCUUUUGGCUUUUAUUGUACAGGCUAGUUAUUAUCUUGAAAAAGCGGACUCUGUUUUUGUGGCAGCUCACACAUCUGCGUUGCAAAGUACACAUUUGAUUUGGCAUCAAAACACUGUACAAGAGUUGUGUAUACUGCUUCGAUCAAAACCAUUAGCAACAAAAAAAUACAGGGAUUUUUGUGGGAAAUUUGACGUUGGCCUUCUCACUUGGGAUGUAAGCUUGAGGCCAGAGGCUUAUUAUCUCAUCAUGACCACUGAGAUACUGCGGUCAAUGCUUUAUAGGGAUGCUGACAUCAUACGUGACUUUGAAUGGGUAAAGGGUUCCUUUUCUUUUGGAUUAUGAUUGCCCUUACUGUUGGUUUCCUUCUUUCAUUACCUUUACAGCUCUUAUUUUCCUUGUUAGGGAUUUCUAAGAUAUUUUUGGUUACUUUUCCAUGCAUGGCAAGUUAUAUUUGAUCAAGAGGAUUAUGUUAAUGAUGUGGAAAGGGGUGUUGUUUGGGAAGAAGUUAUUAUCAUGCUUCCAAGGCAUAUCCACGGUACCAAAUACGAUUGAAUUUGCUGAAUGGAUUGGUUGAACGAAACAAAAGAAAAUUCGUGUAACCGGGUCCAUCUGAUGGAUUUAUCUUCGCUUUGAUCCUAGUGUUGAAUUUAUUAGUAUGUAACAAUGAGUAGGGAUGGGAUUGUGCUUUUAUUUUUGUUACAUUUUCAGAAUUAGCUUUAUACCAUUUUUUGGUUCAUGAUGAGGUUCAUUGGGGAAACUGAUGAGAGAAUAUUACUUCAGUUUUGAGCCACAAAACUUCUUGACUUUCAGUCAAAUGUAUUGGAAAUCCGCUUCUAUGAGAAAAAAGGCAUUCUCCUUAGACUUCUUGAUCGUCCUAUAGUUAUUAUAGUUUUCGUACUUGUUGGUACUUGAGGCUUUCUCCUUAGAUAUGAUUGAACUAUCAAGUAUCUCAGUUUAUUCUCUAUAGUAUAUGCAUGUACUACCUGACCAAAUGUUAUGAUUUCUUGUCUGCAUUUGUUCCUGUUUACAGCUACUUGUUUUAACUGAAAGAAUCUAACUUGUUGAAUGAUUGAGCUUUAGUCUUUAGUAUCUAGCUCUUACAUGUAAGCUGCUGUAGCUUUGACUUUAUUAUAGGCAACCUUACGAAUUGCAGCUAUGGCUGGAACAAAUGAGUUUCAGCAAAAUAUAUUUCUUGGUCUCAGAAAGACUGGAUAAUACUAAAGAUAGGCAGAUAGAGGGAACAAACGGUAGGAAGGAAACAAGCCAUUGGAAUGCAAAGGGCUUCCCUAUGUUUAAAUUAUGAAUUUGUCUCAUUCAUGAGUAUGGAUCCUCUCAUACCGUUUUUGGAAUAAUACAAACCAAUCUUAAUUGGUGAACCACUAAACUCAUUGAUAUGGGCUGUGCCUCCCAUCAUUUCCCAAAACAGCCGUACCCUCUCUCAUAUGGGAAAUAGCCUCCGGCCGAAAUGAUCAUGUAUUGGCCGACAAUAUUUACUGCAAUCAGUGAAUUUUUUUUGUGCAAUUAUCCUAAUUAGUUUUACUCAUGGGCUUAGUUCCCUUUUCUUGAAUUUGAGUACAAGUAGGUAUAUGGUUAGGAUCUUAGGAUGAAAUAAAGGGUUGGAUGCUUUGCUACCUAGUUUGAAUUUGCACCCUCUCACCCUCUCUGUGUGUGUGUGUGUGUGUCAAACACCCUUCCUGUGGUCUGCACAAUUCUCAACCAAGUAUGUUUUGGCAGUUAAUUCUAAUUUGCUCAUUUCUGGUUUGCUAUAAAAGUGUCUUACUUAUGAAUUCUGCAAUUAGCCUUCUGCUUUCUUUUUGUUCAUUUUCAUGUUUCCUUUUUCAUCUUCACACAAUUAUAGUUCAGCACACUACAAUGUCCAUUUGCUUGCUUUUGACUUUCAACUUCAAAGGCUGUUAUUUCUAGGCAUCUAGGUGACGCGAGUAGCCAAAAAGCCCAAUAAAGAAGAUUCUGAGAUCAGUGGAAAAGCAGCAAAAUCUAGCGUGAUGGAAGCUGGUUUGGAACCUGAGAAGCCAAAUAGUGCAACUCCAGUAGUCAGUGUUCAUGAAAAGAAAUGGACUGUUGGUAGUAUUCUGCUGGAUGCAGUCUCUAUGAGUGUUGGAAAGGUAAAUACGAAUAUUAUCAUUUCUAUUUAACUGGCUAGCGCUGAAAUAGAACCUCUAACUGUCACCUUGGCUCUUAAGGGAGCUUUCAACAACAAUCAUGACUUAGGCAAGCUUAGCAAGUUAGCAACAUUACUAACAAAUGAGUUACAAAAAUAGUUUUGCAUUAUUUGAUUCAUAGGAAUGAAGGCGGAUUGGAAUAGUUUUUUUCUUGGAAUGAGCAUUCCAACAUUUGGUUGCUAAUCAAUGAUCAAGCUAUUCUAAUCUUCUAAAUGGAGGGGAUGAUCCGAUUCUUUUGUAUAGUUAUUAGUUAUCAAUCAAUACUCUUGUAAUAAAAGAACGUAGGAUGGCAAGCCAAGUCAUGUGGUGGAAUUACGUUUUUGCCCUUUCAAGUUUGGCAUGUGUUUUGUUUUUCCCUUCGUUUGGUUGUCCAAAAUUUGCUCCUAGACUGCCCUUGCUUCGGCGAUGAAUCGAGAGCGAAGAAACUUUUGCUUCGUUGUCCGGAUUUUGCUCCCAGACUGUCCUUCCUUUGGCGAUCGAUCGAGAGUGAAAGGAACGAGUUCUUGAUUCUCCGGAUUUCACUCAUCUAAUUUCUACUCUUUUUGGAUUUCACUCGUCUAAUUUGUACUUCUUAGGCGCUUGAGUUCCUUAUUUUACUGAAGAAUCUGUACUAUGUCAAGCUCAAGACACUGUUUUUGCGGCUGUUGCCGUCCUUCAAAGUAGAGCCGGGAUUUUUAAUUGCUUCAUCAUUCAUUUGUUGCUUGACUAGAUUGGUUAGGCUACAACAAAGAAGAUGAGUGAGCAGAGGGGAUGAAACUGGUGCGAAACGCAUAAAUGGGAGAUCUGAACCAGGAACCGGGCUCAUUGGGAUGGAAAUAGUCAGUUUCUAGUUUUUCACACAACCAACAAAGGGGGUAUA
Long non-coding RNA from Rhododendron vialii, 3350 nucleotides. RefSeq lists it as uncharacterized. NCBI's taxonomy places the organism in Eukaryota, Viridiplantae, Streptophyta, Magnoliopsida, Ericales, Ericaceae. The record is from RefSeq and is a predicted model, not a curated record. The transcript has 5 exons.